CACGUAUGGGGCAAGCGUUGUCCGGAUUUAUUGGGCGUAAAGAGCUCGUAGGCGGCUUAGUAAGUCGGGUGUGAAACCUCCAGGCUCAACCUGGAGACGCCACCCGAUACUGCUGUGGCUAGAGUCCGGUAGGGGAGCGUGGAAUUCCUGGUGUAGCGGUGAAAUGCGCAGAUAUCAGGAGGAACACCAGCGGCGAAGGCGGCGCUCUGGGCCGGUACUGACGCUGAGACGCGAAAGCGUGGGGAGCGAACAGG
Molecule: ribosomal RNA, 254 nt
Filed under: uncultured bacterium
Lineage: Bacteria
Description: partial 16S ribosomal RNA
Rfam family: Bacterial small subunit ribosomal RNA
Source: RNAcentral